GCCAGACUCCUACGGGAGGCAGCAGUGGGGGAUAUUGCACAAUGGGGGGAACCCUGAUGCAGCGACGCCGCGUGGGUGAAGAAGCGCCUCGGCGCGUAAAGCCCUGUCAGCAGGGAAGAAAAUGACGGUACCUGACUAAGAAGCCCCGGCUAACUACGUGCCAGCAGCCGCGGUAAUACGUAGGGGGCAAGCGUUAUCCGGAUUUACUGGGUGUAAAGGGAGCGUAGACGGCGAAGCAAGUCUGAAGUGAAAACCCAGGGCUCAACCCUGGGACUGCUUUGGAAACUGUUUUGCUAGAGUGUCGGAGAGGUAAGUGGAAUUCCUAGUGUAGCGGUGAAAUGCGUAGAUAUUAGGAGGAACACCAGUGGCGAAGGCGGCUUACUGGACGAUAACUGACGUUGAGGCUCGAAAGCGUGGGGAGCAAACAGGAUUAGAUACCCUUGUAAUG
This 448-nucleotide ribosomal RNA is filed under the name uncultured bacterium. RNAcentral's name for it is "bacterial SSU rRNA". It matches the Rfam family "Bacterial small subunit ribosomal RNA", at positions 330 to 795 of the family's 1533-position model. The record is from RNAcentral.